UAAUUGAAGAGUUUGAUCAUGGCUCAGAUUGAACGCUGGCGGCAGGCCUAACACAUGCAAGUCGAGCGGUAGCACAGGGGAGCUUGCUCCCUGGGUGACGAGCGGCGGACGGGUGAGUAAUGCUUGGGAAUCUGCCUUUGCGAGGGGGACAACAGUUGGAAACGACUGCUAAUACCGCAUAAUGUCUUCGGACCAAAGGGGGCUUUCGGGCUCUCGCGCAAAGAGGGGCCCAAGUGAGAUUAGCU
Molecule: ribosomal RNA, 245 nt
Filed under: Bowmanella dokdonensis
Lineage: Bacteria; Pseudomonadati; Pseudomonadota; Gammaproteobacteria; Alteromonadales; Alteromonadaceae
Description: Bowmanella sp. UDC354 Bacterial small subunit ribosomal RNA
Rfam family: Bacterial small subunit ribosomal RNA
Source: Rfam by way of RNAcentral